This 406-nucleotide ribosomal RNA is filed under the name uncultured bacterium. RNAcentral's name for it is "partial 16S ribosomal RNA". It matches the Rfam family "Bacterial small subunit ribosomal RNA", at positions 30 to 526 of the family's 1533-position model. The record is from RNAcentral.
AUUGAACGCUGGCGGCAGGCCUAACACAUGCAAGUCGAACGAGUGGCGGACGGGUGAGUAAUUUCUGGGAAACUGCCUGAUGGAGGGGGGUAACUACUGGAAACGGUAGCUAAUACCGCAUACCAUCAGAUGUGCCCAGAUGGGAUUAGCUAGUGGGUGGGGUAACGGCUCACCUAGGCGACGAUCCCUAGCUGGUCUGAGAGGAUGACCAGCCACACUGGAACUGAGACACGGGCCAGACUCCUACGGGAGGAAGCAGUGGGGAAUAUUGCACAAUGGGCGAAAGCCUGAUGCAGCCAUGCCGGGUGUAUGAAGAAGGCCUUCGGGUUGUAAAGUACGUUCAGCGGGGAGGCGUUACCCGCAGAAGAAGCACCGGCUAACUCCGUGCCAGCAGCCGCGGUAAUAC